This 1369-nucleotide ribosomal RNA is filed under the name uncultured bacterium. RNAcentral's name for it is "bacterial SSU rRNA". It matches the Rfam family "Bacterial small subunit ribosomal RNA", at positions 28 to 1381 of the family's 1533-position model. The record is from RNAcentral.
GACGAACGCUGGCGGCGUGCCUAAUACAUGCAAGUAGAACGCUGAAGAGAGGAGCUUGCUCUUCUUGGAUGAGUUGCGAACGGGUGAGUAACGCGUAGGUAACCUGCCUUGUAGCGGGGGAUAACUAUUGGAAACGAUAGCUAAUACCGCAUAACAAUGGAUGACACAUGUCAUUUAUUUGAAAGGGGCAAUUGCUCCACUACAAGAUGGACCUGCGUUGUAUUAGCUAGUAGGUGAGGUAACGGCUCACCUAGGCGACGAUACAUAGCCGACCUGAGAGGGUGAUCGGCCACACUGGGACUGAGACACGGCCCAGACUCCUAUGGGAGGCAGCAGUAGGGAAUCUUCGGCAAUGGGGGCAACCCUGACCGAGCAACGCCGCGUGAGUGAAGAAGGUUUUCGGAUCGUAAAGCUCUGUUGUAAGUCAAGAACGAGUGUGAGAGUGGAAAGUUCACACUGUGACGGUAGCUUACCAGAAAGGGACGGCUAACUACGUGCCAGCAGCCGCGGUAAUACGUAGGUCCCGAGCGUUGUCCGGAUUUAUUGGGCGUAAAGCGAGCGCAGGCGGUUUGAUAAGUCUGAAGUUAAAGGCUGUGGCUCAACCAUAGUUCGCUUUGGAAACUGUCAAACUUGAGUGCAGAAGGGGAGAGUGGAAUUCCAUGUGUAGCGGUGAAAUGCGUAGAUAUAUGGAGGAACACCGGUGGCGAAAGCGGCUCUCUGGUCUGUAACUGACGCUGAGGCUCGAAAGCGUGGGGAGCGAACAGGAUUAGAUACCCUGGUAGUCCACGCCGUAAACGAUGAGUGCUAGGUGUUGGAUCCUUUCCGGGAUUCAGUGCCGCAGCUAACGCAUUAAGCACUCCGCCUGGGGAGUACGACCGCAAGGUUGAAACUCAAAGGAAUUGACGGGGGCCCGCACAAGCGGUGGAGCAUGUGGUUUAAUUCGAAGCAACGCGAAGAACCUUACCAGGUCUUGACAUCCCGAUGCUAUUUCUAGAGAUAGAAAGUUACUUCGGUACAUCGGUGACAGGUGGUGCAUGGUUGUCGUCAGCUCGUGUCGUGAGAUGUUGGGUUAAGUCCCGCAACGAGCGCAACCCCUAUUGUUAGUUGCCAUCAUUCAGUUGGGCACUCUAGCGAGACUGCCGGUAAUAAACCGGAGGAAGGUGGGGAUGACGUCAAAUCAUCAUGCCCCUUAUGACCUGGGCUACACACGUGCUACAAUGGCUGGUACAACGAGUUGCGAGUCGGUGACGGCAAGCUAAUCUCUUAAAGCCAAUCUCAGUUCGGAUUGUAGGCUGCAACUCGCCUACAUGAAGUCGGAAUCGCUAGUAAUCGCGGAUCAGCACGCCGCGGUGAAUACGUUCCCGGGCCU